AUUUUUUUAACGAUAUAUAUGUCUAAAAUAUUAGAGAUCGGUCAGCUUCUGGGUAUGCUCGGAUAUGUCGACAAGCAUGCAACCAUGGCUUAAUCCAACUUUGUCAACGCUUUCUUUUUAACUUACGUUCUUGCUCAUUUUGUAAUGAUUCUCUUGCUUGUACUCUUUCUUGUCUUUCUUUCGACUCGCAUGUUUUCUUUACUAUAAUGUUCUCAUUCUUAAUAAUCAUAUUCUUUUAUUAUAUAUUACUGAAUUUGCUUCCUAUUUCCCAGCUACUCAUUCGGCAGUUAAUUCCUAAGACUAAAUACUAUUGUCAUUCCUUGACAGCGGUGCCAAAAUAUAAUUAUC
Molecule: long non-coding RNA, 348 nt
Filed under: Physcomitrium patens
Lineage: Eukaryota; Viridiplantae; Streptophyta; Bryopsida; Funariales; Funariaceae
Description: long non-coding RNA (PPAT_LNC007351)
Source: RNAcentral